GCCAUUUUUAUUAGUUUAUAUCGCGUUUCAAUCGCGAAAUAAUUUAAGAAAAUUCGAUAUAUUUAGUGAAAGAAAAUUCAUUACGGCUACCUAAUAGAAACGACACAAGUUCUGAAUGUUUAAAACGGUAUCGGGACGGCAAUGCGGGCUUUGCAUUCGAUUGACCACUUGCAGAGCGGUGUAUUGUGGCCGAUUUAAAGCGCGUGGCGGGAAAUGCACGUACCUGGACACCGGCUCGUGAAUCAUGACCACACGGUUUUAAUUGAUGGAUUUAAUUGAUAUGGAAUGGAAAUGGUGUCGUAUUUUCCCGAAGCUUCACCGACUAUCAACAGUCGAUUCAUGGAAUUUUCCAGCCCGGAUGGUGACCCAAAUUGUGUUCGGAUGUGCGAACUCACUGUGUGCUCUGAACCCACCUGAUUUAAGGAAUUAAACGUCUGUCGUAAAACUUGUGCCACGAAGAUUUCCAACAGUCAACACUUUGUAUCGGCUGGUUCAGACGGAACAGUCCGCAUGUGGAAUGCCGUAAAAAUGGACACCUCCAGUUCCUUAUCGCUGUCAUCAAAAUACGAAAUACAGAAAUCGGCAGGCCAAGUUAUGGCACAACAGGGGCUGAACCGCCAUAUGAGUUCCACCACAACCAAUAAUACUCAGAGCACCAGAAGUUCCU
Long non-coding RNA from Armigeres subalbatus, 667 nucleotides. RefSeq lists it as uncharacterized. Lineage: Eukaryota; Metazoa; Arthropoda; Insecta; Diptera; Culicidae. The record is from RefSeq and is a predicted model, not a curated record. The transcript has 3 exons.